Molecule: ribosomal RNA, 468 nt
Filed under: uncultured bacterium
Lineage: Bacteria
Description: partial 16S ribosomal RNA
Rfam family: Bacterial small subunit ribosomal RNA
Source: RNAcentral
GAUGAACGCUGGCGGCGUGCUUAACACAUGCAAGUCGAACGAACAGGUCAUGCUCUUGUGGCGUUCUCGAGUGCCGAACGGGUGUGUAUAACGCGUGUAAAAUGCACCUGAAUUUGGGAUAACAUCACGAAAAAGGGGCUCUAAUCGGAUAGGAGAUACUGCACCACGGUGGGGGUUGGAAAGUUUCGGCGGUAGGGGAUGGACUCGCGGCUUCUCAGCUUGUUGGUGGGGUAGUGGAUUACGAAGUCUGUGACGGGUAGCCGGCCUGAGAGGGUGACCGGCGACAUGGGUACUGAGAGACGGCCCAGACGCGUACGGGAGGCAGCAGUGGGAAAUAUGGCACAGUGGGGGGAAGCCUGUUGCAGCAGCGCCGCGUGCGUGAUGACGGCCUUCGGGUUGUGAACCGCUAUCUCCUGUGACGAAGCGUUAGUGACGGUAAUGGAUAAAGAAGCACCGGCUAACUACGUG